UCAUCAACUGACCUCAACAGGCAAAAAGACCGCACUAUCCAGGCUGCCUUGCCCUCUGGCUUCCAGUUGGCUGCCGCCAAUAGAAGACAUCAGCAGGAAACUGGAAAGUAGGAGGAAAGAGACACGGAUAUUAAACCAAGAUUCCACUAGCCCAUGCCUAAGCCUGCCUGGCCAAGAUUGUAACAGUGGCUGAAUUCCUUGACCCAAAGACCACAUCUCCUGAUGGAUAGGGUACCACAGUGGGCGCUGCGGAACCAGUUACACCAGCUCAGAGUGUCUGUAGUUAUCCAGGCAUGAAGGCAGAAUUUCCUCAAAAUGUAGAGGAAGAGAAGAUUGUGGUCCAGACUUCUGUCUUCCCAUAUAACGACUCUAGAAGAAAAAGAAAGCUUCUCUCUGAACAUCCAGAUAUAAAAUCUAUGAUAAGAACCUAAUCAGGAUCACCAUUAGGAGAUUACCUGAUCCUAAGUUAUUUGUUCACACUCUCUGAAUAGCAGGGCAGGAUAUUAUAAUUAUUAAAAUUAUAUCAGAGUUACAGAAA
Macaca mulatta (Rhesus monkey) is the source of this 538-nucleotide non-coding RNA. The record is from RefSeq and is a predicted model, not a curated record. Lineage: Eukaryota; Metazoa; Chordata; Mammalia; Primates; Cercopithecidae.